AUUGAACGCUGGCGGCAGGCCUAACACAUGCAAGUCGAACGAGUGGCGGACGGGUGAGUAAUGUCUGGGAAACUGCCCGAUGGAGGGGGAUAACUCCUGGAAACGGUAGCUAAUACCGCAUACCAUCAGAUGUGCCCAGAUGGGAUUAGCUAGUAGGUGGGGUAAUGGCUCACCUAGGCGACGAUCCCUAGCUGGUCUGAGAGGAUGACCAGCCACACUGGAACUGAGACACGGUCCAGACUCCUACGGGAUACAGCAGUGGGGAAUAUUGCACAAUGGGCGCAAGCCUGAUGCAGCCAUGACGCGUGUAUGAAGAAGGCCUUCGGGUUUUAAAGUACUUUCAGCGGGGAGGCGUUACCCGCAGAAGAAGCACCGGCUAACUCCGUGCCAGCAGCCGCGGUAAUUC
This 406-nucleotide ribosomal RNA is filed under the name uncultured bacterium. RNAcentral describes it as "partial 16S ribosomal RNA". It matches the Rfam family "Bacterial small subunit ribosomal RNA", at positions 30 to 526 of the family's 1533-position model. The record is from RNAcentral.